GCUCGGGUAGCCCAACGGCAGGAGGCGCAUCCUUGAGGUGGAUGGCAGUGUGGGUUCGAAUCCCAUCCCGAGUAC
RNAcentral lists this transfer RNA (75 nucleotides) under Streptomyces phage TunaTartare. Its description in RNAcentral is "tRNA-Leu". It matches the Rfam family "tRNA". Rfam says of the family: Transfer RNA (tRNA) molecules are approximately 80 nucleotides in length. Their secondary structure includes four short double-helical elements and three loops (D, anti-codon, and T loops). Further hydrogen bonds mediate the characteristic L-shaped molecular structure. tRNAs have two regions of fundamental functional importance: the anti-codon, which is responsible for specific mRNA codon recognition, and the 3' end, to which the tRNAs corresponding amino acid is attached (by aminoacyl-tRNA synthetases). tRNAs cope with the degeneracy of the genetic code in two manners: having more than one tRNA (with a specific anti-codon) for a particular amino acid; and 'wobble' base-pairing, i.e. permitting non-standard base-pairing at the 3rd anti-codon position. Lineage: Duplodnaviria; Heunggongvirae; Uroviricota; Caudoviricetes; Stanwilliamsviridae. The record is from RNAcentral.